Molecule: ribosomal RNA, 342 nt
Filed under: Nanos hanskii
Lineage: Eukaryota; Metazoa; Arthropoda; Insecta; Coleoptera; Scarabaeidae
Description: partial 16S ribosomal RNA
Source: RNAcentral
AUUAAUAAUUAAAUGGCUGCGGUAUUUUGACCGUGCAAAGGUAGCAUAAUCAUUAGUUUUUUAAUUGGGAACUGGUAUGAAAGGUCGAACGAAAAAAAAACUGUCUCAAUUUAAUUUAAAUUAGAAUUUUAUCUUUAAGUAAAAAAGCUUAAAUGAUUUUAAAAGACGAGAAGACCCUAUAGAGUUUUAUAUUUAAAUAUUUAUAUGAAAAAUUAAAGAAUUGUUUUUUUUUUGUAAUUAUUUAAUUAUUUAGUUGGGGCGAUUAAAAAAUUUAAAUAACUUUUUUUAAAUAAUAACAUUGAUUUAUGAAUAAGUGAUCCAUAUUUAAUGAUUAUAAGAUUA